UACGAAGGGGGCUAGCGUUGUUCGGAAUUACUGGGCGUAAAGCGCACGUAGGCGGACAUUUAAGUCAGGGGUGAAAUCCCAGAGCUCAACUCUGGAACUGCCUUUGAUACUGGGUGUCUGGAGUAUGGAAGAGGUGAGUGGAAUUCCGAGUGUAGAGGUGAAAUUCGUAGAUAUUCGGAGGAACACCGGUGGCGAAGGCGGCAUUCUGGACCGACAUUGACGCUGAGGAGCGAAAGCCAGGGGAGCAAACGGG
RNAcentral lists this ribosomal RNA (253 nucleotides) under uncultured bacterium. Its description in RNAcentral is "partial 16S ribosomal RNA". It matches the Rfam family "Bacterial small subunit ribosomal RNA", at positions 524 to 776 of the family's 1533-position model. The record is from RNAcentral.